ACCCGGGCAUGUGCCCUGACCCAGAAUUGAAACCGUGACCUCCUGGUUCUUAGGUCGACCUCAACCACUGAGCCACGCUGCUGGGCUCGUGUCCCCCGUGGAAAACUCUGAGGCCCCAGGCCGAUCUGCACUGCUUCCCAACCUCUGCUCGCCAUCUGGGCCUCUUGUCUCUGGGGCUGGGUCUCAGGAACCAGGCUUCCCUGAUGCCACCCACCUGGGUAGGGGUCAUGCCCAGGUCAUGCCCACACUGGGGGAUGAGCCCUCUGAGAACUCUCAUUUGGAACCUUGAGAAUGGCUGUUCUCAUUCUCGACCCGCCCCCCACUCAUCCCCCACGUGUUCGUGUAUCCACAUGUCUUUUCAAUUAUUAUUGAUUAGGGGUACUAGUCCCAGGUAUCAUUUCAGGGCCUGGAGAUACAUCCGUGAACAAAAUAGGUGAAUGAUAAGUGUGCAGUGAGUGCACAUAUGGCAGCAGGCCACACUUAGGCAUUCUUUAUGGCUCCCCAUCCCUUCCAAUGGGGCCACUGAUCUUUCCCUGUGUAAAUCCAGCCCGUCUGUCUGUCUGUCCUCCAGAGAUCCAGCACAGAGCUCCUUCCAGCCCACACACCCAGCCCUGCCAGGCCUCACUCCACAGGGUCCACAUGCCCGCACAUGGAGGAGGAUAGAGAGCCUGCAUUCCUGGGCCUGCCUUCAAGGUCAAACACAAUUUGACCCCCGCCUGCCUCUGGGGAGUCUCCUCAGUCCUGGCAGCUUCCUCUGCAUUCCCAUGCACCCCGGUGUCUCUGCUCCCGGGUCCCUCUUCCUGCAGCAAGACCAGGACUCACUGGCAUCUACAGAGGACCCCCGCAUCUUUGCCGGCUUCUGGGGCCUGGUAAGCACGGAUUUCAUUUCUUUGAAAACGCUCCUGGGGCAUCAGACACUGGGGAGACUUAUUGCUGAAAUGAAAGCUUCACGAACGUGAAAUUGGAAAAGGUCACAGCUGAGGGCACAGUCUCGGAGACGCAGGGACGGUGCCCACAAAGCCAGGGCAGCCGGGCGCUUGGCAUCUUCCCUCCGGAGCACAGAGCAUUCGGAGGCGGGUGACCUCCCCUAAUUAGGAAUAUGGGGGAAAUGGGGCAGCACCAGCUGGAAGCCGUGAGUAAAUGAGCCCGUGCUCCAGGUGACUCCUGCUGGGGUAGUUAGAGGUGCACGCGGGUACUGAGCAGGAGGAAGACACGCGAGGCCUUCUCUCCCUCCCCGAAGGUCCUUCCUGCUCUAAGCCUGCCUGGGCCCGCGUCACCAGCGGCCCAUCCUGAGGGGGGCGUGCAGGGUCAGGGUGCAGGGAG
Myotis daubentonii (Daubenton's bat) is the source of this 1323-nucleotide long non-coding RNA. RefSeq lists it as uncharacterized. The record is from RefSeq and is a predicted model, not a curated record. The transcript is spliced from 3 exons. NCBI's taxonomy places the organism in Eukaryota, Metazoa, Chordata, Mammalia, Chiroptera, Vespertilionidae.